RNAcentral lists this transfer RNA (90 nucleotides) under Suillus tomentosus. RNAcentral describes it as "tRNA-Ser". It matches the Rfam family "tRNA". Rfam says of the family: Transfer RNA (tRNA) molecules are approximately 80 nucleotides in length. Their secondary structure includes four short double-helical elements and three loops (D, anti-codon, and T loops). Further hydrogen bonds mediate the characteristic L-shaped molecular structure. tRNAs have two regions of fundamental functional importance: the anti-codon, which is responsible for specific mRNA codon recognition, and the 3' end, to which the tRNAs corresponding amino acid is attached (by aminoacyl-tRNA synthetases). tRNAs cope with the degeneracy of the genetic code in two manners: having more than one tRNA (with a specific anti-codon) for a particular amino acid; and 'wobble' base-pairing, i.e. permitting non-standard base-pairing at the 3rd anti-codon position. The record is from RNAcentral. RNAcentral also lists the same sequence under 2 other names. Lineage: Eukaryota; Fungi; Basidiomycota; Agaricomycetes; Boletales; Suillaceae.
GCUGAUAUGGCCGAGUCGUUAAGGCGAGUGAUUUGAAUACUCAUCAUCACUUGGGCAUUGCCCGCGUAGGUUCAAAUCCUGCUGUCAGCG